AGAGUUUGAUCCUGGCUCAGGACGAACGCUGGCGGCGUGCUUAACACAUGCAAGUCGAACGGAAAGGCCCUUCGGGGUACUCGAGUGGCGAACGGGUGAGUAACACGUGGGUGAUCUGCCCUGCACUUUGGGAUAAGCCUGGGAAACUGGGUCUAAUACCGAAUAGGACCGCGCUCUUCAUGGGGUGUGGUGGAAAGCUUUUGCGGUGUGGGAUGGGCCCGCGGCCUAUCAGCUUGUUGGUGGGGUAAUGGCCUACCAAGGCGACGACGGGUAGCCGGCCUGAGAGGGUGACCGGCCACACUGGGACUGAGAUACGGCCCAGACUCCUACGGGAGGCAGCAGUGGGGAAUAUUGCACAAUGGGCGCAAGCCUGAUGCAGCGACGCCGCGUGAGGGAUGACGGCCUUCGGGUUGUAAACCUCUUUCAAUAGGGACGAAGCGCAAGUGACGGUACCUAUAGAAGAAGGACCGGCCAACUACGUGCCAGCAGCCGCGGUAAUACGUAGGGUCCGAGCGUCGUCCGGAAUUACUGGGCGUAAAGAGCUCGUAGGUGGUUUGUCGCGUUGUUCGUGAAAACUCACAGCUUAACUGUGGGCGUGCGGGCGAUACGGGCAGACUAGAGUACUGCAGGGGAGGCUGGAAUUCCUGGUGUAGCGGUGGAAUGCGCAGAUAUCAGGAGGAACACCGGUGGCGAAGGCGGGUCUCUGGGCAGUAACUGACGCUGAGGAGCGAAAGCGUGGGUAGCGAACAGGAUUAGAUACCCUGGUAGUCCAA
Molecule: ribosomal RNA, 773 nt
Filed under: uncultured bacterium
Lineage: Bacteria
Description: bacterial SSU rRNA
Rfam family: Bacterial small subunit ribosomal RNA
Source: RNAcentral